AAAUUUAAAUAUAGUUUAUGUUAAAAUAUUUUAAACUUUCUUUAUAUUUUUAGUAUAAAUUUAUAUAUAAAUAGAAGAAAAAUUUAUUUUUUUAAAAAAAUAAAAUAGAAGUUUAAUAAAAUGAUUUGGCUAAACUUGUGCCAGCCGCCGCGGUUAUACAAGUAAAUCUUUUUUAAUAUAUUAAGAAUAAUAAAAUUAUUAAAAAAUUUUUAAAAAAUUAAUAAAGGUGAAAUUUAUAUUUUUUAAUAACAAAAUUGAUUUUAAAAAAAUUUAAUUUUUAAACUAGGAUUAGAUACCCUAUUAUUUUAAGCUAAAUGUUGGUAGUAAGUAAAGUUUAUGAAAUCAUAAAAUUUUGGCGGUAUUUUAAGCUUAUUAGAGGAAUUUGCUCUGUAAUGGACACAACGCCUUGAUCUUACUUAAUUUAGUAUUAAAUCAGUUUGUAUACCACUAUAUUUAAUUAUAUUGAAUAAUUAUAGUUAAGAUUUUUUUUUAAUCUAAAAAGUAUAUUAAGUCAAGGUGCAGCUUAUAAUUAUGAAUGAAGUGAAUUACAUUAAUUUUAAUGCUAUAAUAUUGAAAAGAAAAUUAGGAUUUAAUAGUAAAAUAUUAAUAGAAUGAAUAUUUGAAAUAAGCUCUAAAAUAUGCACAUAUCGCCCGUCGCUCUCAGAGGUGAGAUAAGUCGUAACAAAGUAAAAGUACUGGAAAGUGUUUUU
RNAcentral lists this ribosomal RNA (710 nucleotides) under Ixodes sinensis. RNAcentral describes it as "12S ribosomal RNA". Lineage: Eukaryota; Metazoa; Arthropoda; Arachnida; Ixodida; Ixodidae. The record is from RNAcentral.